GACCGCGUGGCGCAGUGGCAGCAUAUUCGGCUCGAGACCGAGAGGUGGCGGGUUCGAAUCCGCCUGCCGUGU
Molecule: non-coding RNA, 72 nt
Organism: Branchiostoma floridae (Florida lancelet)
Lineage: Eukaryota; Metazoa; Chordata; Leptocardii; Amphioxiformes; Branchiostomatidae
Source: Rfam